Molecule: ribosomal RNA, 501 nt
Filed under: uncultured bacterium
Lineage: Bacteria
Description: partial 16S ribosomal RNA
Rfam family: Bacterial small subunit ribosomal RNA
Source: RNAcentral
AUUGAACGCUGGCGGCAUGCCUUACACAUGCAAGUCGAACGGCAGCUCGGGUGCUUGCACCUGGUGGCGAGUGGCGAACGGGUGAGUAAUACAUCGGAACGUACCUUAUCGUGGGGGAUAACGCAGCGAAAGCUGUGCUAAUACCGCAUACGCCCUGAGGGGGAAAGCGGGGGAUCGAAAGACCUCGCGCGAUUAGAGCGGCCGAUGCCUGAUUAGCUUGAUGGUGGGGUAAAAGCCCACCAAGGCGACGAUCAGUAGCUGGUCUGAGGGGACGAGCAGCCACACUGGGACCGAGACACGGCCCAGACUGCGACGGGGGGCAGCAGUGGGGAAUUUUGGACACUGGGGGCAACCCUGAUCCAGCAAUGCCGCGUGAGUGAAGAAGGCCUUCGGGUUGUAAAGCUCUUUUGUCAGGGAAGAAACACCGGCUCUAACACAGUCAGGGAAUGACGGUACCUGAAGAAUAAGCACCGGCUAACUACGUGCCAGCCGCCGCCGUAA